Molecule: unclassified non-coding RNA, 253 nt
Filed under: uncultured Planctomycetales bacterium
Lineage: Bacteria; Pseudomonadati; Planctomycetota; Planctomycetia; Planctomycetales
Description: contains 16S-23S intergenic spacer region
Rfam family: Bacterial small subunit ribosomal RNA
Source: RNAcentral
UACGUACUGUGCGAACGUUAUUCGGAAUCACUGGGCUUACAGGGUGUGUAGGCGGCUGAAUAAGUAGGGUGUGAAAUGCCUCGGCCUAACCGAGGCACGGCGCUCUAAACUGUUCGGCUUGAGUGAGAUAGGGGUGUGCGGAACUUCCAGUGGAGCGGUGAAAUGUGUUGAUAUUGGAAGGAACGCCGGUGGCGAAAGCGGCACACUGGGUCUCAACUGACGCUGAGACACGAAAGCCAGGGGAGCGAACGGG